GACGAACGCUGGCGGCGUGCUUAACACAUGCAAGUCGAGCGGUAAGGCCCUUUCGGGGGUACACGAGCGGCGAACGGGUGAGUAACACGUGGGUGACCUGCCCUUAGCUCUGGGAUAAGCCUGGGAAACUGGGUCUAAUACCGGAUAUGACUCCAUGACGCAUGUUGUGGGGUGGAAAGCCUUGUGCGGCUAGGGGAUGGGGCCCGCGGCCUAUCAGCUUGUUGGUGGGGUNAUGGCCACCAAGGCGACGACGGGUAGCCGGCCUGAGAGGGCGACCGGCCACACUGGGACUGAGACACGGCCCAGACUCCUACGGGAGGCAGCAGUGGGGAAUCUUGCGCAAUGGGCGAAAGCCUGACGCAGCGACGCCGCGUGGGGAUGACGGCCU
This 388-nucleotide ribosomal RNA is filed under the name uncultured bacterium. Its description in RNAcentral is "bacterial SSU rRNA". It matches the Rfam family "Bacterial small subunit ribosomal RNA", at positions 28 to 417 of the family's 1533-position model. The record is from RNAcentral.